This is a non-coding RNA of Bos taurus (domestic cattle), 72 nucleotides long. Lineage: Eukaryota; Metazoa; Chordata; Mammalia; Artiodactyla; Bovidae. The record is from Rfam.
UCCCUGAUAUCUCAGUCAGUAAAGAAUCUGCCUGCAAUGCAGGAGACCCUGGUUUGAUUCCUGGGUUGAGAA